This 523-nucleotide long non-coding RNA is filed under the name Monodelphis domestica (gray short-tailed opossum). RNAcentral describes it as "lncRNA (ENSMODG00000050798.1)". The record is from RNAcentral. Lineage: Eukaryota; Metazoa; Chordata; Mammalia; Didelphimorphia; Didelphidae.
GAGAGAGAUUAAGCCAGGGCUAGCCAGGACCAGUAUGUAGGGGUGGUCAGGUGAAUGGAGAGAUAAGCAAUUCUGUCUUAUCUGCCUCAGAGGGAGAACACUAGUUUCUUGCACUAAAAGAAGAUUAAAACCACAAUAGCCCUUCUGUGAGCCACAAACUCAUCAGUUCUGGACAUGAUAAUGCCAGGAAGCUUGAAGAGCUGUUUAGCAGCUGUUUGUCUGAAGUUCACUGGUGCUGCCCAUAUUGAAUAAGUUACAAGUUUCAGUAUGAAAAAAUAUGAAGAGAAUUCUGUGCUGCUGAGCUGGAACUGUUGACCUAGCAUGGACUUGGAUAAUCUCAGAAUCACUGAAUCAAUCAAUGAAUCCACAAGCAUUAAUCAAGUGUUCAAUCUGAGCUAGAUGGAGGCUGGACCCAGAAGAUCAAAAGGAAGGAAAAAACACAGCUUUCUACCACUUGUUGACUGUGGAAGGCCCAGGUUAGAAGAUCAGAGGAACAGUGGAGCAAUGAGGACCACAAUUAGCC